Molecule: ribosomal RNA, 484 nt
Filed under: uncultured bacterium
Lineage: Bacteria
Description: partial 16S ribosomal RNA
Rfam family: Bacterial small subunit ribosomal RNA
Source: RNAcentral
GAUGAACGCUGGCGGCGUGCUUAACACAUGCAAGUCGAACGGUGAAGCAGGAGCUUGCUCUUGUGGAUCAGUGGCGAACGGGUGAGUAACACGUGAGCAACCUGCCCCUGACUCUGGGAUACGCGCUGGAAACGGCGUCUAAUACUGGAUAUGUGAUGCGACCGCAUGGUCUGCCUCUGGAACGAAGUUCGGUUGGGGAGGGGCUCGCGGCCUGUCAGCUUGUUGGUGAGGUAAUGGCUCACCAAGGCGUCGACGGGUAGUCGGCCUGAGCGGGUGACCGGCCACACUGGGACUGAGACACGGCCCAGACUCCUACGGGAGGCAGCAGUGGGGAAUAUUGCACAAUGGGCGGAAGCCUGAUGCAGCAACGCCGCGUGAGGGAUGACGGCCUUCGGGUUGUAAACCUCUUUUAGCAGGGAAGGAGCGAAAGUGACGGUACCUGCAGAAAAAGCACCGGCUAACUACGUGCCAGCAGCAGCCGCCG